UAAUAUACUAUUUUAGUGUGGAGUGAAUGCCUUGGAAGAAAAAUAUAGGCGCGGACAAUCGCGAAAGUGUUGACACGAGGAAAGCCUGUGACGUCAACCAACCUAAAAUGGGAAACCGGGGCUAAAAAGCCCGCUGCUUAGGCAGUAUCAAGGGGAAGUGAAACAUCUCAGUACCCUGUAGACCAAAUCAACCGAGAUAUCGUUAGUAGUGGUGAGCGAAAGCGAUAAAAAGGCAAAACGAAAAUUUUAUUAUUAAGAAUGAAAAGAAGUUUUGUUUUUCAAUGAAAUUUCUACCUUAGAAGGUGUUAGUCCUGUAAUUCUUUUUUUUUUUCGUGAAAGUAAGACGAGGCAAGUUUACCUUGUCUGAGUAUUGGGGGACCACCCUCAAAGCCUAUAGUUAUUUUUCUUACCGAUAGUGAACAAGUACCGUGAGGGAAAGGUGAAAAAGAAGUUGCGACAGUGCAAAGAUCCUGAAACUCCAUAUUUGAGUCGGAGCUAUAAAAAGCAACGGCAUACCUUUUGUAUAAUGGGCAAGUGAAUCUUAAUAAAGGGCAAGCUUAAGCUAAUAAAAGUGUAGGCGAAGAGAAAUCGAGUCCUAUGUGGCAUCCUAAAGUCCUUUGUUAAGUACCCGAAACCGGCUGAUCUAAACUUGAGCAGGCUGAUAUUGUAGUGGCAACAUUCUUUGGAGGGCCGAACCCGUGUAUGUGGCAAAAUACUGGGAUGACUUGAGUUUAGGGGUGAAAGGCCAAUCAAAGUCGGUGAUAGCUGGAUUUCUGCGAAAUCUAUUGAAGUAGAGCGUCCUAAACAGUAAAUCUGGGGUAGAGCACUGUAUAAGCAAGGGGGAGAUCUUCUCUUACUAAACUUUGGCAAACUCCGAAUACAGAUUUUUCAUUUAGGGCAGACAGAGUAUGUAUGCUAAGAUUCAUACUCAAGAGGGAAACAGCCCAGACUGUAGGCUAAGGUCCACAAAAUAGUUUCAGUGGUAAAGGUGAUAUCUGCUCUGAGACCGUCAGGAGGUAGGCUUGGAAGCAGCCAUCCUUUUAAGACAGCGUAACAGCUCACUGACCUAGAGUAGAAGUCCCGCCAAUUUUGAGGGCUUAAAACUAUUACCGAAGCCUCAGACAAAAAUGUUAAGAUAAUUAAAAACUCUUAUAUUUUGUGGUAGCAGAACAUUCCGUAGGUCGUAGAAGUUUUGACGUAAGUUAAGAUCAAGAUAUCGGAAGCGAGAAUACUUGCAUGAGUAGCAUAAAACAAUGAAAUUAAAGCAUUGUGGCCGUAAGUCCAAGGUUUACGAUCUUAAGUAAAACUGGGUCGUGAGAGGGUAACACCUCGAUUUAAAACGGUCCCUAAGCUGUUAAGCCAAAGCUUGCAGUAAUGGGUAAGAUUAAACUGUUAAAAGUUGCUGACGAAAAAUUCACCUUAUUCUUGAAUUUGUCAAGAGUGAGUUAUUUUUUCCAAGAAAAAGGCACUUUAUUUAUACCGUACCUUAAACCGCCUCAGGUGGACGGGUGGAGAACACUAAGGCCUUGAGAUAACCCUGUUGAAGGAACUCGGCAAAAUGACUCUGUAACUUCGGAAUAAGGAGUAAAGGCAUGUAGCGCAAGCUUUUGUCUUUGUCACAAAAUCGGGGGUGGCGACUGUUUAUUAAAAACACAGGUCUCUGCUAACUCGUAAGAGGAUGUAUAGGGACUGACACCUGCCCGGUGCCGGUAGGUGAAGCUUUGAUGUUUACGCAUUGAGGUCAAACCCCGGUAAACGGCGGCUGUAACUAUGACGGUCCUAAGGUAGCGAAAUUCCUUGUCGGGUAAGUUCCGACCCGCAUGAAUGGUGUAACGACUUCCCCGCUGUCUCCAACAGGGACUCAGUGAAAUUACAUAGGUCGUGAAGAUGCGACCAUCCCACAGCUGGACGGAAAGACCCCGUGCACCUUUACUAUAAGCAAAUAUUGUAGGUCAAAGACUCUAGUGUAGAAUAGGUGGGAGCUUAUGAUUCUUUCUCGUCAGAGUCUGAUGAGGCGAUAGUGAAAUACCACCCCGAGAUCUGUUGGCUUACUAACUAAGGGACAGUGUUUGCUGGGUAGUUUGACUGGGGCGGUCGCCUCCUAAAGAGUAACGGAGGCAUACAAAGGUAGGUUCAUCUCCUUCUAAGGGGAAUUGAGUAUAAUGGUAUAAACCUGCUUGACUGAAAGAAAGACAUUUCGAUCAGAGACGUAAGUCGGUCAUAGUGAUCCGGUGGUUCUUUGUGGAAAGGCCAUCGCGCAAUGGAUAAAAGGUACGCCGGGGAUAACAGGCUAAUGAUCCUCUAGAGCCCCUAUCGACGGGUUCGUUUGGCACCUCGAUGUCGACUCAUCACAUCCUGGAGCUGGAAAAGGUUCCAAGGGUUCGGCUGUUCGCCGACGAAAGUGGUACGUGAGUUGGGUUUAGAACGUCGUGAGACAGUUUGGUCCCUAUCUUCUGUGGGUGUUUGAAAAUUCCGAGGACUAGACCUUAGUACGAGAGGACCGGGAAAACUCGAUCCCUUGUGUUCCGGUUGUUCCCUAAGGGGCAUCGCCGGGUAGCUACAUCGAGAAGAGAUAAUCGACCGUUAGGCGAGAAACUCUCCUCUAGUAAAGUUUUCUAAAGGGGGUGGAAGAUUACCACUUUGAUAGGCGGGAGGUGUAAGAGCUGUAAGGUUUUCAGCUGACCCGUACUAAUCCCUAGAAAAAUAAAAUUAUAUAGUUUUUGC
RNAcentral lists this ribosomal RNA (2724 nucleotides) under Alaria esculenta (Atlantic wakame). RNAcentral's name for it is "large subunit ribosomal RNA". It matches the Rfam family "Bacterial large subunit ribosomal RNA". Lineage: Eukaryota; Phaeophyceae; Laminariales; Alariaceae. The record is from RNAcentral.